Ictalurus punctatus (channel catfish) is the source of this 620-nucleotide long non-coding RNA. The record is from Ensembl. NCBI's taxonomy places the organism in Eukaryota, Metazoa, Chordata, Actinopteri, Siluriformes, Ictaluridae.
GACUAAUUAAGCACCAGCAAAUACAGAGAGAGUGUGAGACACUUAAACACUACUGAAAACAUUGCAUAAGCUUGCAAAUGGAUGGAAAUUUAAAAUAGUUUGAUUUGAGUGUGCCAGCUAAAGUACUUGACCUGGAAAUCCUGGAAAGAGACUGUCAGAGAUCCUAACAUAGAAGGUACACUAGACCUUGUAUCAGUAUCAAAGAAUUUGCACAUAUGUGUCCUAGAUAAGCUCUCUGUUACAGUACUUUCAUUAGCAUUCCCAGUUUCCAGUAGAGAAAGUUACACCAUGCUGUAUGUUGCUUAACUUAAUUGGUUGGUAAAAGGUUAGAAAUUAUUGCUCCCUUCAGACCCACAGUAGAAACAAAAAGUGUACCCAGGAGGUACACUUCUGGCUGCUUGUGUGACUUGUAGAAAAGAAGGAGUUCAUGCUAACUGAGGUGUCUGAAUAAAAUGCAGAGGGAUUGAUCAGGGAGUUGGAGCCCCUUUCACAUCAAAGUAAACUUUUUAAUUAAUCCAACUCAGAAGGCAUCCAGGGAGAGAGGAGAGAGAUAACAAGGGAGGGUAAAAUCUGUGGCAGAAGUUAUUUCUGUUCAUUGACUGGAUGAAAUAAAGGCUGAA